RNAcentral lists this unclassified non-coding RNA (400 nucleotides) under soil metagenome. RNAcentral describes it as "partial contains 5.8S ribosomal RNA, internal transcribed spacer 2, and large subunit ribosomal RNA". The stretch from base 1 to 122 matches the Rfam family "5.8S ribosomal RNA", at positions 35 to 154 of the family's 154-position model. The record is from RNAcentral.
GAUGAAGAACGUAGCGAAAUGCGAUACUUGGUGUGAAUUGCAGAAUCCCGUGAACCAUCGAGUCUUUGAACGCAAGUUGCGCCUCAAGCCAUUAGGUUGAGGGCACGUCUGCCUGGGCGUCACAUAUCGUUGCCUGAUGCCAGUUUCCUCGUGAUGGGUGACUGUGCAGGGCGAAUGAUGGCUUCCCGUGAGCAUUGUUGCCUCAUGGUUGGUUGAAAAUUGAGUCCUUGGUAGGGAGCGCCGUGAUAUAUGGUGGUUGAGUGACGAACGAGACCCAAUCAUGUGAGACCCCUACCGAAUUUGGCCUUCAUGACCCACAUGCGUCUUUGGAACGCUCAUGACGAGACCUCAGGUCAGGCGGGGCUACCCGCUGAGUUAAAGCAUAUCAAUAAGCGGAGGA